CCUCGGCGGGAUCUCUGCCCCGGGUGCGUCGCAGCCCCGGACCAAGGCGCCCGCCGGAGGACCAACCAAAACUCUUUUUGUAUACCCCCUCGCGGGUUUUUUAUAAUCUCAGCCUUCUCGGCGCCUCUCGUAGGCGUUUCGAAAAUGAAUCAAAACUUUCAACAACGGAUCUCUUGGUUCUGGCAUCGAUGAAGAACGCAGCGAAAUGCGAUAAGUAAUGUGAAUUGCAGAAUUCAGUGUAUCAUCGAAUCUUUGAACGCACAUUGCGCCCGCCAGUAUUCUGGCGGGCAUGCCUGUCCGAGCGUCAUUUCAACCCUCGAACCCCUCCGGGGGGUCGGCGUUGGGGAUCGGCCCUCCCUUAGCGGGUGGCCGUCUCCGAAAUACAGUGGCGGUCUCGCCGCAGCCUCUCCUGCGCAGUAGUUUGCACACUCGCAUCGGGAGCGCGGCGCGUCCACAGCCGUUAAACACCCAACUUCUGAAUGUUGACCUCGGAUCAGGUAGGAAUACCCGCUGAACUUAAGCAUAUCAAUAAGCGGAGG
RNAcentral lists this ribosomal RNA (539 nucleotides) under Trichoderma harzianum. Its description in RNAcentral is "eukaryotic LSU rRNA". The stretch from base 154 to 307 matches the Rfam family "5.8S ribosomal RNA". The record is from RNAcentral. Lineage: Eukaryota; Fungi; Ascomycota; Sordariomycetes; Hypocreales; Hypocreaceae.